UAUCGAAUAAACUUGAACAGGCUGUUGCUGGUCUCCUCAGGGAGAUUACGUGCACGCUUGUCUCAUCUUUGUUAUUUCUCCAACUGUGCACCUUUUGUAGACCCUGGAGCUUUAUGAAUUUUCUGAAAAUUCGAGUCAGGACUGCUGUUUCAGCUUUGCCUUGCAUCUCCAGGUUCUAUGUCAUUUUUCACAACCUCUUCAUAUGUUUAGAAUGUUUGGAAAUAUAAAAUUGAAAUAUACAACUUUCAGCAACGGAUCUCUUGGCUCUCGCAUCGAUGAAGAACGCAGCGAAAUGCGAUAAGUAAUGUGAAUUGCAGAAUUCAGUGAAUCAUCGAAUCUUUGAACGCAUCUUGCGCUCCUUGGUAUUCCGAGGAGCAUGCCUGUUUGAGUGUCAUUUAACUUCUCAACCAACAUCAGAUGAUGUUGGCUUGGAUGUGGGGGUUGUUUUUGCAGGCUUUUUCUUGUUAGAAGGUCGGCUCCCCUGAAAUGGAUUAGUGGUAUCUGAGGCUACUACUGUGGGUGUGAUAACUAUCUAUGCCUUUGGUAUGCCGCAUGAACAGAUUACACUGCUUCUAACAAAACAAAAUUGAUAA
This 593-nucleotide ribosomal RNA is filed under the name Inocybe flocculosa. Its description in RNAcentral is "eukaryotic LSU rRNA". The stretch from base 241 to 394 matches the Rfam family "5.8S ribosomal RNA". The record is from RNAcentral. Lineage: Eukaryota; Fungi; Basidiomycota; Agaricomycetes; Agaricales; Inocybaceae.